RNAcentral lists this ribosomal RNA (381 nucleotides) under Triticum aestivum (bread wheat). RNAcentral describes it as "partial small subunit ribosomal RNA". Lineage: Eukaryota; Viridiplantae; Streptophyta; Magnoliopsida; Poales; Poaceae. The record is from RNAcentral.
AUGAAGCAACCCAUCAGUCGCGCCAUCUCCACCUCAUGGCAACAUGUACGGCGACAACACGCAACCACAGCCUCAACGAAAUGGAAUCGGGUUCACUGUUUUCUAUCCGAAUCGACCACCACCAUAGCCGCAGGGCGACGGAUCCCAACCACAAUAUCACACGCGCCUUUAUCCCGAAUCCACCACCGGGUAACCAUGGGAGAAAAUACCACCUCUCCCAAGACAACCACACGAAACAUUCCUAACAUUUCCACACACACAAAAGAAAAGAAAAAACACACAGAGAAGAAACACAUGCGCCCAAAUCCGUGGCAACAAUGUGUUGUACCCACAGCUCCACUCCUUUUUCCUCCGCAAGAAAACAGAAAAAUAAAUUGUUGA